This 1169-nucleotide unclassified non-coding RNA is filed under the name Cimex lectularius (bed bug). RNAcentral's name for it is "uncharacterized LOC112126942, transcript variant X1". Lineage: Eukaryota; Metazoa; Arthropoda; Insecta; Hemiptera; Cimicidae. The record is from RNAcentral.
AAAUCACUAAAGAAUGAAGUUAUUACUCACAGCAGCAAGUCUGUUCUUAUGGCUGACUGAAGUGUAUCCUGCGAGUCGCGCACUACCCUUCAACACGGAUGAACGGAAUGAUCAAGUUCAGUUUUACGGAAUGCCUGGAAGUGAUACCAAAGACAUGGCACUGUGGUUAUUCGACCUGCUGCAAAAAAACGAUCACGUUCAGAUCAAAAGGAACUCAGAAAUAAUCAACUCUCUCCUUGGGUUGCCCAAAGUUCUCAACGAUGCCGGACGUUAAGAAAAAUGGAUCGGACAACUUUAUUUUGAUAACCGUUGCACAUGCACAUUGUAGAAAAUUAUUUCAUUUACUAAUCAAUUUUAAUUACAACGUUCUACUUCACAAAUAAAAAUUAUAUCAAAUCAAAUUCAAUGUUUUUUCUUUUUAUAUAAACAACACAACUUUGGUUUAUGCUUUAUAAUUGAAGUGAAUUAAAAUUUUGUAAUUAAACUAAUGAUGUUGGUGUAAUUUUCUUAUAGCAAGAACUCAGUAGAAAUGUUAUAGUAGGCAAGGUUAAUUUAAUUUUUUUUUUUUAAUUUUAACAUUUUUUAAUUGAAUUGUUUAAUUUUAAUUUAACCUUACGUCAAUUUAAUUUUAAUUAAAUUAUUUAUUUUUAUUAAUGAAGGAUGACCAUUUUGGUAAAUCGAGGCGAUCAGAUGGCCAGUCAGAGAAAUUUUAAUCUGUAUUUUUUAAAUGUUAUGUAUUGAACGAUUUAUUAAAAAAAAGGACGUUUUUACAGUGAUGAACCGAUUAUGUAAUUCUAUUGUAGUAAGGCAGAUUAGUGGGAUAGGUUUAAAGUCCAUUAAUAAAAAUCUUUACUUAGAACAGUUAUAAUGAAAUAGUAAUAGAUAAAAUAAAAUGAAUAGAAUGGAACUGUUCUUUUGACAAAUUUUUGAUUACACCAUUUACUUGCCCAUUAAAUAGACCAUCCUCUUACAAAUAGUUUUAAAUUGAACUUAAAUGAUUAUUUUCAAUUUCUUUAAAUUUACAUCUUUUAAUGUUAAUAACUGUAUGUUUCUCUUGGUUCAUCCCUUUUUACUGGUUUUGUUAGUAAUGUCAACAUGAGCUUUCUACUUAUUUCAGAAUGCCAAUUCCCUACUUAUAACACAAUUAUUCACAAAAAUAUACUUAUAAU